GGACAUUGCCAUACCACCCUGAACGCACCUGAUCUCGUCUGAUCUUGGAAGCUCAGGAUAAAUGAUUUCUAAAGGCAGAGUCAC
Molecule: ribosomal RNA, 84 nt
Organism: Vulpes vulpes (red fox)
Lineage: Eukaryota; Metazoa; Chordata; Mammalia; Carnivora; Canidae
Source: Ensembl